AUCCGCUAUGAUGGGAAUGUGUAUGAGAACUUGUUUGAGUGGGCCAAGAAAUCCCCACUGAACAAAGCAGAGGUCCAUGAAUCUUACUAUAAGCACCUGAAGCCACUGCAGUCCAAGCUCUGACCUGUCACAAGGACAAGUUUAAUCUGCUCCAGAAAGCAGCUGUAUGCAACUCCAUUUAUACCUGAUGCACAAAUCUGUGUGAAAUCUUCAUCAAAUUCAAAUAGCUAUAUAGUAAAUGAUAAAUUGACCCCUUUCCUCUUUUUAUAAAUGAAGGGAAAAAAUGAACAGAUUUCAGAGAUUAAAUGAAAAAACCAGAUGUGUUUUAAGUGCAAUUAACACUGAAAGAGAUCUGUUAAGCAUUCAGAAAAAGCUUAAGAAAUGCAGUAUGACUUGCAUUUGUAAUGCUGCUAAUCCCAGUAGGCCAUAACUUUUGAUAAUUAGCAGAGUUUAACUACUAAGUAGUUAAUUAUUUUCACAUUUUAAUUGCUAAUCAUUGGCUAUAUAAGUGUUUUUAAGCAAAAGUAUUUUUGAAGUAGGAUAGAACCCUUCAAAGCUUUCAUGCUAAAUGUUCUACCAUUCCUACUGUGGGGGCUGGCUGAACAACAGGACUGAAGAAAAGGGAUUCGAAGGAAAAAAACUAACCAGAAAACUUAAUGUGAGUGAGUUUGUGUUAGAGCUUCUGCUGCUUGUCUUCCUUUGCUGAUGGAUUGCUUCUAUCUUCUAACUAUUCAUAGUAGCAUUUUUCCAACAACUGGACUUUUUCAGCAUAGAUCUACUGCAGAACCACUGUCUCCUGUAAUUAUGAAUUAAUAUUUCAUUUGAAGGAUCCUGAAAUUGUUGCUCUAGUAGCACUACAACUCCCUUUGUCUCCAGCUUCUUGGGAAGGAAUAGGUAGCAAAGUUAUCUACAUAGGACUUUUGGCAACUGCUGGGACCUCAAUCAGUGCUAUUUGACACCCCCCACACACACUUUCCUGGAAGAGAUACUAAAGAAAAGAGGGAGAAAAAUCACAGUUCCUUCUUAAUAGAACAAAUGUAGGGAGAGCUCUCAGCUAUGGUACUGCUGUAACUGUAGGAAUGAUAUUAACUAGAUUUUCUAGGACAAUCCAGAUUUCAAAUAUUUGUCAUCUUGGCAUUAAAAUACUUGGAGGUUACAGUAUUUGGCAUUCAGAAAAUGUCACUUAGGUCACCUUACACACAGAAAUAACACCCUUUGACGCAAACCAUGUUUCGCUUCUUGGUUCAGAAAAUAUUAAUCAUUGAAACUAUGGCUAGAGGAUAAAUGAAUGUUUCUCAGAUUCCAUAUUUUAUUGAAUGUAUAGCUUUGUCUUCAUUAUAUUUCUAGGAGCUUAAUCUGAAUUGCUAAAUUGUCCUUUCAGUUGAAAUUUAUAUAAUCAUUCUAUAUUUAAAACUUAAAUGUGCCUCUUAAUUUUUUUCUUAAAAUCCGUGUAAAACAUCAUAAGUCACUUGAAAUUUUUUUUUUUUUUACCUGUUUAUGUCUGUGACAUCUGCCUCAUGAAACCAGUUGUUCUAGAAUCAGUCCUGAGAAUAUAGUAUAAUUCAUUGGAAACAAUUCCUCUCUUGGGACCUGACAUAAAGUCUAUCUCAGGAGAAGUGAUAAUAUGAGAUUUUUAGGUUACAGCAGAAAUACUGUAUAUUGACACAGCCUUACUCUUUCCACUGGGAGAACUAAUUGAUAAUUAAUAUUGAAGAUUAACUCUGUAUUAAUCUCAUUUGAGUCUCUUGAAAGUAGUUCGGAUUCUAGAAAAUAACAAAGUAAAUUUAAAUGGCUUAAUAUUGACCUUUUAAAUGUAGAAUUAUUUCAAAAUUAGUGUUUCAAUACCUUAUUCACAGAUGAAUGUAUCUGUGGCCAGGAUCUGAGGAUGUUUGAAAUGACACCCACCUGCGUAGAUCUGGGGUCUAUCUUGGCAGGUUUGAAUUGUAAACACUACAGAGCCACCUUCAAUGCAGCACCUCAAGUUUUAUUUAAAAGCUAAAUCUGACAUUUGAUACUAUUUUUAUUAACAUUGGAAUGUUUUGUCUUGAACUUUAUUCAUUGUAAUCAAAGAAUAAAAAUAAAGUAAAACCUCA
Molecule: non-coding RNA, 2093 nt
Organism: Microcebus murinus (gray mouse lemur)
Lineage: Eukaryota; Metazoa; Chordata; Mammalia; Primates; Cheirogaleidae
Source: RefSeq, a predicted model, not a curated record